Molecule: non-coding RNA, 591 nt
Filed under: Pongo abelii (Sumatran orangutan)
Lineage: Eukaryota; Metazoa; Chordata; Mammalia; Primates; Hominidae
Source: RNAcentral
CACGCGCCUUCGGGAAUCUUAGGUGCGCAAAGUCUGUUCGCCGCCGGGGUCUAUCACCCCCGCCCCUCGCCUCUGCCCGUGCGCGUGUGAGUUGUAGCGUCCCCUGGGGUCUGUUCUGGAGGAGGCCUGAGAGCGGGGUUGCCUGGGGCGUGGGGCUCUCAUCCCUCUUGUCAUGGUGAAGAAGAAGAGUAUACCCAGCGGCUGGCUUUGCUUUUUCAGAGGAAACAGAGACUCUCAGACAUGAAUACUGUGACACUGACCACCAGGCCAACUUAACAUCAGCAGAUAUCCUGUCUCAGAUGAAGAGAAUGGCCUGUCCAGAAGACAGCCAAAUACAUCCUUCAAAUAGACUUCACUGCAGGAGACAGAGUGGAUUCAUCCCGUAUUCUCCACAUGGACUUCCAUCUUCAUGAGUACUCCAAGAAGGUGGUUCAGUUGACUAUUGCAAAGUCUCAGGUAUGUCUUUAUCAGCAGCAUGAAAACGGACUAAUAGUACCAGUAGAGUGGGGCAUUGCUGAAAAGAUACCCGAAAAUGUGGAAGCAACUUUGGAACUGGGUGUUGAAAUAAUCUGGAGGGCUCAGAAGAAGAUA